CCUGUAGGUAGGUGGGUGGCAGUUCACCAUGAUGAAGGCCUGUAGGUAGGUGGGUGGCAGUUCACCAUGAUGAAGGCCUGUAGGUAGGUGGUGGCAGUUCACCAUGAUGAAGGCCUGUAGGUAGUGGGUAGCAGUUCACCAUGAUGAAGGCCUGUGGUAGGUGGUGCAGUUCACCAUGAUGAAGCCUGUAGGUAGUAGGUGGCAGUUCACCAUGAUGAAGGCCUGUAGGUGUGUGGCAGUUCACCAUGAUGAAGGCCUGUAGGUAGGAGCAGUUCACCAUAUUAAGGCCUGUAGGUAGGUAGCAUUCACCAUGAUGAAGGCCUGUAGGUAGGUAGCAGUUCACCAUUGAUGAAGGCCUGUAGGUGGGUAGCAGUUCACCAUGAUGAAGGCCUGUAGGUAGGUGGCAGUUCACCAUG
This is a non-coding RNA of Salvelinus sp. IW2-2015, 416 nucleotides long. The record is from RefSeq and is a predicted model, not a curated record. Lineage: Eukaryota; Metazoa; Chordata; Actinopteri; Salmoniformes; Salmonidae.